UCCUCGUUAGUAUAGUGGUUAGUGUCGCCGCCUAUCACGCGGCAGACCGUGGUUUGAUUCCCCGUCGGGGAG
This is a non-coding RNA of Ciona savignyi (Pacific transparent sea squirt), 72 nucleotides long. The record is from Rfam. Lineage: Eukaryota; Metazoa; Chordata; Ascidiacea; Phlebobranchia; Cionidae.